This 497-nucleotide ribosomal RNA is filed under the name uncultured bacterium. RNAcentral's name for it is "partial 16S ribosomal RNA". It matches the Rfam family "Bacterial small subunit ribosomal RNA", at positions 28 to 507 of the family's 1533-position model. The record is from RNAcentral.
GAUGAACGCUGGCGGCGUGCCUAAUACAUGCAAGUCGAGCGAACGUUCUAUCCUCUUGCUUCUCUGUUGUUAGCGGCUGUCGGGUGAUUAACACUUGUCUAACCUACCUAUUAUACUUCCAUAACUUCGUGAAACCUUCGCUUAUACCGCAUGAUAUUUUGAUCCGCUUGGUUCUAAAGUGAUAGACGGUCUUUCUGUCCCUUAUAGAUGGAUCCUCGCUGCAUUAGCUAGUUGGUAAGGUAACGUCUUACCAAGGCAACGAUGCAUAGCCGACCUGAGAGGGUGAUAGGACACACGGGAAGUGAGACACGGACAAGACUACUACGGGAGGCAGCAGUAGGGAAUAUGCAGAAAUGGGCGAAAGCGUGAAGGAGCAAAGGGGAGUGAGUGAGGAAGGGCUUAGGAUCGUAAAAAACUGUUAUUAGGGAAGAACAAAGGUGUAAGUAAAUGUGCACAUGAUGACGGUAACUAAGCAGAAAGCAACGGCUAACUACGUG